RNAcentral lists this transfer RNA (82 nucleotides) under compost metagenome. RNAcentral describes it as "tRNA-Leu". It matches the Rfam family "tRNA". From Rfam's summary of the family: Transfer RNA (tRNA) molecules are approximately 80 nucleotides in length. The record is from RNAcentral.
GCUCUUCUGGAGGAAUUGGCAGACUCGUCACACUUAGAACGUGAUGUCGAAAGACGUAGGGGUUCGAGUCCCCUGAAGAGCA